UACGGAGGAUCCAAGCGUUAUCCGGAUUUAUUGGGUUUAAAGGGUGCGCAGGCGGGUUGAUAAGUCAGCGGUGAAAGUUUGCAGCUUAACUGUAAAAUUGCCGUUGAAACUGUCGAUCUUGAGUGCAAAUGAGGUAAGCGGAAUGUGUUGUGUAGCGGUGAAAUGCUUAGAUAUAACACAGAACACCGAUUGCGAAGGCAGCUUACUGGGAUGCAACUGACGCUCAUGCACGAAAGCGUGGGGAUCAAACAGG
This 253-nucleotide ribosomal RNA is filed under the name uncultured prokaryote. RNAcentral describes it as "partial 16S ribosomal RNA". It matches the Rfam family "Bacterial small subunit ribosomal RNA", at positions 524 to 776 of the family's 1533-position model. The record is from RNAcentral.